GGAGGUAUAGCUCAGUGGUAGAGCAAUUGACUGCAGAUCAAUGGGUCUCUGGUUCGAAUCCGGAUAUCUCCU
This is a transfer RNA of Selaginella moellendorffii, 72 nucleotides long. It matches the Rfam family "tRNA". From Rfam's summary of the family: Transfer RNA (tRNA) molecules are approximately 80 nucleotides in length. NCBI's taxonomy places the organism in Eukaryota, Viridiplantae, Streptophyta, Lycopodiopsida, Selaginellales, Selaginellaceae. The record is from Rfam.